Non-coding RNA from Cricetulus griseus (Chinese hamster), 2920 nucleotides. The record is from RefSeq and is a predicted model, not a curated record. Lineage: Eukaryota; Metazoa; Chordata; Mammalia; Rodentia; Cricetidae.
GCUCCACUGUUAGUGACCCCACAAACUGCCCAAGCCACCCAACUGUCACCCACAUUCAGAGGGCCUAGUUCGGUCUUUUGGAGGUUCCCCAGCUGUCUGGAGUCAGUGAGCUAGGUGGCCCCUUUCAGUGGCAGCUAAAAUAAAAGGUGGAAAAGAAAGGCUUGUGUUGCCUGCUUGCUUUCACUUUAAUGGCAAGCUCAAUUGUGCUGUUGCUAUGUUCUUUCACUGAUAGCAAAAUCAGCUUCUUCAGGUUUCUAACAUGUCCUGAAGACCAGCAACUCUCCAGGCUCUCCAGGGACCCUCCCAGCUUUCAGUGCUGAUGAUGCCCCCACAGAAUGAGCAGCCACAGGAUUCUCAUGAUGUUCUGAGGUAGCCAUUGUUGGCCUAUUCAGAUCACACCAUAUAAUCCAAUCUAAUAGAUCAGCAUUAGCUCCAUUAAUUCCCAAUGCAAAACUGCUUGAUGUGUUUGAGGAACAGGCAUGGAAUCCAAAAACUGAAGACUAUGAGUGACAACCAGAACAUGUUCAUGUAAGUACAGCAGAGGCCAUAGCCAACUGAGUUUAUAUGUGGAAAGCUGUGUAUCCGAGGAACAGACUAUAUGAUAGGGUUUCCGCUGUGAAUUCUUAACCUGCUUCAGUUCAAAUCCUAACACAGACUGACUGAGCAAUUCAUAGUGUCUCUCCUCAGAAAAUGCAGAUAAUGGAACCUGUUUCAUAUUUGUUUGAAAAAUCAAGUUGUUCAUUAUUCAUUCUAGUUGGUAAGAGUUCAUAUUAUCUGUUGUGUGUGUAAUGGACUUGGGGAAAUAUCAGCAUCGAAAUCACAUGUAGGAUUUGAAAUCACAUGUUGGAUUUGAGUGGUGGCAGUGAGCUGGAAGUAGGUGAGCAGCUAAUGAAAAUGAUAGCUCAUAUUAAUUAUGGGGUAAUAUGUGUUGGGCAGCAUCCUAAGCUCUGUUAAGUGUCAAGCACUACUCCAAGCUUUCUGUAUGUGUCACAACAAUCCAUGAGCUAGGUUCUAUUGUUAUUCCUGUUUUACAAAUGAAGGAACUGCACUAUUUAACUUGCCCAAGCUCACAUAGUCAGUAAACAGCAGAACCACAACAAAAACCCAGGCUCUACACUCUAACCUCUGCCUGACUGCUUCUCAUAUAAGGUAGCAGAAUUACACUCUAAUCACAGGUGAUCACAGUCUUUGGCUAUUGUGCUGGUUGGUUUUGUCAACUUGACAUAAAUAUAAACACGGGCAGAAAGACACUUACGGUCAGGUCAGCGCCACAGGUUAGAUCUCUCACUACAGAGAAUAGGCUACUACUGUCCUUUUUGAUGCUCUGGAGAGCUCCAACAGGGAGCUCAGCUUGGUUUAUUCACAGUGCAGCCCACCACUAUGACAGCAAGCCACCUACAACCCUAAGCCUCAGCUUCCUUGUCUUUAACAUCACAGGGCCAGAUGGAGCCGGUUCCCUGCUGUCCUGUCUUGUUCUGCCUUGUUGGGAGCCAGAUCCUGGGUUAUAGUCUCUUUGAUGUGACGACAAAGCUAUCUCUGAAGUUUCCCUGAUGUCACCUUUUGCUUCCCCUGUUCUCUUUUCUCAUGUUCCGCCAAUAACUGACACCUUGAUUCUUCUGUCCCCUUUAUCUCCCUCUUUCUAAUGUCUUCCAUUUCUUUAUCACCCUUAUAAUUUUUCUCUGCCCGUGCAAUAUCCACAUUUCUUAUAGCUGAAUGUAUACUGAACAUUUUAACAGCUUUGCUGAGAGGUGUAAUUCAUUGGGUCUAUGAUCCACUCAUGUAAAGUGUAUAGUUUGGAGGUGGUUAGUAUAUUCAGACUUGUGCAUUCUUCACCACAAUCAAUUUUCAAACAUUAUCAUUACACCCGGAGACACUCAACAUCCCUUAGCUAUGAUCUCUCUGUAAUCUCAGCUCCACAGUCUCAGGUGACCUCUACUAAUACAUGUUGUCUCAAAAUUUAUUUAUUCUGUAUAUAUCAUAUAUAGGAAUCAUUUGUAAUUAAGCUGCCAUCACUUGACAAUUUCAUUGACAUCAUGGCACAUACCAGAAUUUCUCUGUUCUGUUGCUGAGUAAUACUACAUUGUGUGGACAUACUUAGUUUUACUUCCUAAUCAUCAGCUGAUGGACAUUGAGGUUACUUCUAAUUUUUUCCUCAUUGUAAAAUGUUUCAGUGAACAUUUGGGCUAGUUUUCAUAUGGACAUAUAUUUUCAUCUUUCUUUUUACAACUUUGGGGUGGAAUUGCUGGAUUAUAUAGCAACACUUGAGAAAUUACCAGCCAUUUCCCAGAGUGGCGGAACUACUGCACAUUCCUUCCAACCAUGUAUAAAGGAUCCAUUCUCAGCACUCUUGCUAUCACUUGUUACUAGCCAUGCUGGUCAUUUGAAGUACGCCACACAAAAUUUUUAAAAUACCUUUGAAUAGCCAUUUAUGUUACUGAUGCAGUUUCCUAAUAUCUAAAAAGGAGUAGACCGUAUAGGUUGAACCUAUUUCUUUACAUAAUUAACAUAAAUUGUUUUAAUAUUGUUAGCAUCCAGGAACACCUUGGCCCUGCCCCUUGGGGCACAUGGCAAGUACCCUGGCUCUGUAUGUAGGCGCAAAAGGUCCCUUUAAGAGACAAACUCCAUCUACUCCCACUCUCUUGCUGUUCCUCUCAAGAGGCAGACAAGUCUUUGCAGUCCCCCUCCUCUUCCCCCGACCCCGUUCUUUCUGUCUCUCUCUUUCUCCCUUCACUUCUCCUCUCUCUUUCUCUCUUCACUUACUCUCCUCCCUUCCCCCAGUAAAACUUCCAAGUUUUGUCGUCAUAGGUGCUUGUCCCUCACCUGCCAUGGUUUGGAUUCACCUGCCAAGGUCCAAUCUCGUGCCCUAUCACAACAUAUAAGAAUAUAUAAAUAAAAUAAAGUUAAUUCUUUGCAUAAUUAA